CCUGAUUGCCGGGUAGCAAUAUUCGGCAGUCGGAGUGGCGUAAGGGUGCGUAACACGUGGGUAAUCCGCCCUGAAGUUGGGGAUAACUCGCUGAAAGGCGAGCUAAUACCGAAUGUGGAUAUCGAGUGGCAUCGCUUGAGAUCUAAAGUUGGGGACCGUAAGGCCUGACGCUUCAGGAUGAGCCCGCGGCCUAUCAGCUUGUUGGUGAGGUAACGGCUCACCAAGGCUAAGACGGGUAGCUGGUCUGAGAGGACGACCAGCCACACUGGAACUGAGACACGGUCCAGACACCUACGGGUGGCAGCAGUCGAGAAUUUUUCACAAUGGGCGAAAGCCUGAUGGAGCGACGCCGCGUGGGGGAUGAAUGGCUUCGGCCCGUAAACCCCUGUCAUUUGCGAACAAACCUUGCCCGCUAACACCGGUCGAGCUGAUUGUAGCGAAAGAGGAAGGGACGGCUAACUCUGUGCCAGCAGCCGCGGUAAUACAGAGGUCCCAAGCGUUGUUCGGAUUCACUGGGCGUAAAGGGUGCGCAGGUGGUCGGGUAAGUCUGAUGUGAAGUCCCGCAGCUUAACUGCGGAAUGGCAUUGGAUACUAUUCGGCUAGAGGGUUGGAGGGGGGGACUGGAAUUCUCGGUGUAGCAGUGAAAUGCGUAGAUAUCGAGAGGAACACCAGUGGCGAAGGCGAGUCCCUGGACAACUCCUGACGCUGAGGCACGAAAGCUAGGGGAGCAAACAGGAUUAGAUACCCUGGUAGUCCUAGCCGUAAACGGUGCACGUUUGCUGUAAGAGGAAUCGACCCCUUUUGUGGCGAAGCUAACGCGUUAAACGUGCCGCCUGGGGAGUACGGUCGCAAGAUUAAAACUCAAAGAAAUUGACGGGGGCCUGCACAA
This 889-nucleotide ribosomal RNA is filed under the name uncultured Verrucomicrobiota bacterium. RNAcentral describes it as "bacterial SSU rRNA". It matches the Rfam family "Bacterial small subunit ribosomal RNA", at positions 66 to 928 of the family's 1533-position model. The record is from RNAcentral. Lineage: Bacteria; Pseudomonadati; Verrucomicrobiota.